AAAUGUUACAAUAUAUUUGAAGAUGACAAUAAAACAAUAAUUUACCAAUCUUUAUAUAUAUAGUUACGAUUUUAAUAAUGAAAUAAUAAUCUAAAAAUAUAUAUAGAAGAAGAUACAAAUACAUGUGAAAGUUUUAAACAAUCUAUUCAAUAAAAAAUAUACAGUAAAAUUAUUAUGUUUUACAAAUUGAUAGAUAACUUCAGAUAUAUUACAAUGUAUACCAUUUAGAAUUGAAAACAAAAUAUUUAUAAAAAAAUUAAUAAAAAAUAAAUCUGCGCUAUUGCGCGGGUUGAGAUCUAGUGAAUGUUUUAAAACUUUUAACACAAUAAUAAGUACAUAGUUUGAUGAACAUUAAGCUUGGGGUUUAAUUUACAAAAAGAUACAAAUCCACCACCGACUUUGCCCUAGCUUAUAAGGGAGCGUCAUCUAUUAUCCGUCGUUCGGCUUCGUGAUUGAAAUAAGAGAGUAAUUUUUUUCUUUCUUCAGUGGAGGAGAAGAGAAUCAUGGCUUGUCGUGAAGCGUUACCCGUUGGACGGGAAAGCUCCGAAUUUCUAACGUGCGCUUGUUGCUUCUCGCGAGUGGUAAAUUCCUGUCUCAAUCUUUGAAUUUCAUGCUGCUUUAUUGAUGUUCUGGUUGGAGACUUUGGUAAAUCUUAUUAUGAGUUUAGGGUUUCAUCAAAUUCGUGUAUAGCGGUUACUGUAAUGGGUGGAAGUCAUUAUUAUAGCGGCUUGUACCUGGCGUGUCUUCGAAAACGAAAAGGAGCGUGCCUGGCGUUUCUGCUACUGGGCAAGUAAUACCAAGUUUCCAUUGGUUACAACUGGAGAAAGGGAGCAUAUCUGCAACGAUGAUUUUUUGACAAGAAAAUGGGAGCCUGAUUGGCGUGCCUGCAACUUGACAAGUGGUGCCGACUUUCCAUUCCCCAGCCACAACAUAAAUACUGGCACUUUAGAGGAUCAGCAUUUGUCAGCAGAAGAUGGUUUAGGCACUUGGGAACCGCCAGAGGAUCAGCAUUCAAAUGUAACAAUCAUCUGCCAGUACUGCCGAGCGACCGCAGCUGCCCUUGAGAAGGAAUCUGAUACCACACAGAUGAGUCUCAGACUUUCAAUGCUCAAACAUUAUCAGUGUCCAUUCUUGCAUGUGAAUCAGAACACCAGCUCUCAUCCUUAUGUCACUCAAGAUUCAGCCCAAGUCAGUGAGAACAACGAACCCUCUUCUUCUUCCUACCAUCAGUGAUUUAAUGCCAUAGUCGUAUAUGUCACUUUAAUCUUGAUCCUGGAGCAUUGACAGAAAGCUUCCUUUGAGUAAAAUAGCUUCUGUCUUGGCAAACGACACAUGAGAAUUUCAUGUUUCAUUGCACAGUCUUCCCUCACCAGCUACCUUGUUAAGCUAACAGUGGACGCCAUUGACUCCUCUGGAACAAAAGUUGUUCAAUCAGUAGCUGAAGAAACUGAAACUCCUAUGAGUUGUUAUGAUGUACCAGAAACACUAUUGAUGAAUGAUCCCUCACUGCUGUGUUGAAUGUGACACAAGCAGUGGUUCAUCUUCAUCAAGUGUUCAUGAUGCAUUCAUUCCAGAAGAAAACACUUUCUGAGUUUGGUGGCAGGCUGGCAGCAAUAUAUGUUUCUUUUGCGGUUGGAAGCCAUGACACAGUAAUGGUGUUCUUUAUACCAAUGCAGUUCAAACUAGAAAAAGAUAUUGUGGUUGGAAGAAGAGAAAUGAGUUUUUUUCAAUCCUACAAAGAAUCGUUAAGAUUCAGAUUUGAAUAAUAAUUUCCUUAAAGCAAACUGAAGGUGUUAAAAUUAGUUUUAUU
Long non-coding RNA from Brassica rapa (field mustard), 1810 nucleotides. RefSeq lists it as uncharacterized. Lineage: Eukaryota; Viridiplantae; Streptophyta; Magnoliopsida; Brassicales; Brassicaceae. The record is from RefSeq and is a predicted model, not a curated record.